Molecule: non-coding RNA, 444 nt
Organism: Paramuricea clavata
Lineage: Eukaryota; Metazoa; Cnidaria; Anthozoa; Malacalcyonacea; Plexauridae
Source: the annotation of a GenBank genome assembly
AACGCACGUAACAAAUUCCAUUAUCGAUUUCUUCGAAUUUCUUUUCUUUUAUGCUUUAUGGCAGAAAAUAAAUCAAACAAACAGUACUUUGAAAGGGCUUCAUCAAAAUCUUUGACGAAUUUUGGACACACGACGCUGAAAGAACAGCCAAACUAGUCAUGUAUUCGAAAGCUUCUUGUUGACAGCCAAGAUCAGUUCUGCCAACUUGCUUCGCCGGCAAAAGUCUUAUUUUUAAUAUCAGGUCCUACCGGCGUUGUUUUCUGAGCUACAUCGCCUUCUUCGUGGUAUGAUUGAGAAUUUAAUUGUUGCUGUUAUUAGCCCAUUUAAUAGUCGUUAGAGUAUAUCCGCGUCCAGCAAGUUGAGACCUUGAGAAAGCUUGGCAGUCAAGCCGUGCACAGAACUGACUAAUUAAAUCUUUGUUUGCUGUUCGCCUGUUCGGUUAAA